Molecule: long non-coding RNA, 752 nt
Organism: Clupea harengus (Atlantic herring)
Lineage: Eukaryota; Metazoa; Chordata; Actinopteri; Clupeiformes; Clupeidae
Source: Ensembl
UGUGUGUGUGUGUGUGUGUGUGUGUGUGUGUGUCUGUCUGUGCAAACAUUGCAUGAAGCGAAGUUUUAUUUAUACACUGUGGAGUGUGCAAGAUGUUUUCCGAAACCAUCAGUGAAAAAGCAGCAAACGUAAGGAGGAAGUGAAACCAGUCAUGUGUCUUGCAAUGGCCCUUUUAUAGCCAUAAGUCAGUCACCUCUUCCUGUGGUUUUGUUACAAUAUCCGUGACGGCUUUUAAAAACAUUUAAAGAGUAAUUGUCUUGGAGGGGAAGAUUUACUGCAUUAUCCCAGCCGACAGGAAAGAGGCCAUGCCCUAAGAUGAGCCGGAGCAGUGUGGAGCUGGAUGGGGUGAGCCAACAGGGAGCAGUGGACAGUCUGACACAGUCUCUGCGAGGGCUGGCCAACAGCCUGACCACUGCCUCCACUGACAGCCUGACGCCUGACGCACGUGAGUGGACACUGCAAACCACAUCACUCUGUCUGAUGGGUAUAAGGAUCAUUAGCCAUGGAGCCCUGCCCCUGUGCCAACCGGAAGUUAGAGGCUAUCUGUAGACAUGUUCUCUAAACAACUGUAACCAUUUAAAUGGAAGGAAAUUGUUCUGUAGCUGUUUUUUUUUCCCAAACAAGGUCAGUCUUUAUCAAGAGACCAGUUGGGUAUUACCCUUCAAACCAAAGGGAGCAGAGGUGGGCUGGCUUUGUGGAGCGGGGUGUUUGAUCUCAAAAGCAGGAAACUAGUCACACAAUUAUGAUGUUCU